AUGCAAGGUUAAGCAGCAAAUGUGGAGCCGCAGCGAAAGCGAGUCUGAAUAGGGCGUUGAGUAUUUGGUCGUAGACCCGAAACCAGGUGAUCUACCCUUGGUCAGGUUGAAGUUCAGGUAACACUGAAUGGAGGACCGAACCGACUUACGUUGAAAAGUGAGCGGAUGAACUGAGGGUAGCGGAGAAAUUCCAAUCGAACUUGGAGAUAGCUGGUUCUCUCCGAAAUAGCUUUAGGG
RNAcentral lists this ribosomal RNA (237 nucleotides) under Flavobacterium sp. LMO9. Its description in RNAcentral is "partial 23S ribosomal RNA". It matches the Rfam family "Bacterial large subunit ribosomal RNA", at positions 638 to 875 of the family's 2925-position model. Lineage: Bacteria; Pseudomonadati; Bacteroidota; Flavobacteriia; Flavobacteriales; Flavobacteriaceae. The record is from RNAcentral.